RNAcentral lists this ribosomal RNA (583 nucleotides) under Russula flavobrunnea var. violaceotincta. RNAcentral describes it as "partial 12S small subunit ribosomal RNA". It matches the Rfam family "Bacterial small subunit ribosomal RNA", at positions 359 to 947 of the family's 1533-position model. The record is from RNAcentral. Lineage: Eukaryota; Fungi; Basidiomycota; Agaricomycetes; Russulales; Russulaceae.
GAAUAUUAGUCAAUGCUCGAAAGAGUGAACUAGCUAACUGAAAUCAAUUAUAAAAAUUGAUAACAUAAGGGAAAAUAAUGAUAUUACCUUAUUAUUAGUGUCGUCCAAAACUGGUGCCAGAAGACUCGGUAAGGCCAGAGACAUAAACGUUAAUCGUCUUAAUCAGGCGUAAAGGGUUUGUAGGCGGCUUUUAAUUUUACUUAUUUCUUUUUUUGUUUUGUUUUGUUAAUUUUAAUUAAAAAAACAAAUUUUUUUAUAAGUAAAGAAUAAAAGCUAGAAUCAAAUAGAGGAUAUAUUAAAUAAUGCUUAGAGUAGGUCUGAUAUCCUUAGAUACUAAGUAGAAUAUUAAAGGCGAAAGCUUUUUUCCAUUAAUGAUUGACGCUCAGAAACGAAGGUGAGGAUAGGAAAUAGGAUUAGAUACCCAAAAUACCCCUCUCUGUCAACGAUGAAUGGUAGUUAUUAGUAUUAAAUUUAUUAAUGACAAUGUUAACACGAUAACCAUUCCGCCUUGUGAGUACAACUGCAAAGUUGAAAACAAAAAAAUUAGUCGGUUUCGGAGCAAACGAAGUGAAGCAUGUUAUUU